AAGAAGAGAGUGGAGAAAAAGAAAAAAGAUAAUACUUCAAAUUCAAAUUGUAUUCUAUUUGACAAAGCACGAAUGCUGGUUACUGUAUGAAAGAACGUUUCUUCCUCCUUUGUUCAUUCUUUUCUUUUCUUUUUU
RNAcentral lists this non-coding RNA (135 nucleotides) under Chloropicon mariensis. Lineage: Eukaryota; Viridiplantae; Chlorophyta; Chloropicophyceae; Chloropicales; Chloropicaceae. The record is from RNAcentral.